GGAUCUUCAAGGAUUGGUCCUGGACAUCCACACUACAUAAAAACCUUUGAAUUAGGGAACAAGAUUGCAACUCUAUUAGAUUGUACGACAUGGUCCGGGGCUGGGCCAGGCUUAAUGGAUGCUGCCACACAAGGUGCUCUACAAGCAGGGAAGCCCGUUGGCGGGUUCAAGAUAGGUAAAGAAGCAGGGGAAUGGACAGCUACAAAUUUUCAUCCAUACUUACCAUCAGAGAGUUAUCUUACAUGCAGGUUUUUCUCCGCAAGGAAACACGGGCUGGUGGAUGCUGUUGUGAGAUGUAGAAGCUCUGAAAGGACAGC
This 317-nucleotide unclassified non-coding RNA is filed under the name Hevea brasiliensis (rubber tree). The record is from RNAcentral. Lineage: Eukaryota; Viridiplantae; Streptophyta; Magnoliopsida; Malpighiales; Euphorbiaceae.